This 480-nucleotide ribosomal RNA is filed under the name Bacillus sp. (in: firmicutes). RNAcentral's name for it is "bacterial SSU rRNA". It matches the Rfam family "Bacterial small subunit ribosomal RNA", at positions 19 to 480 of the family's 1533-position model. Lineage: Bacteria; Bacillati; Bacillota; Bacilli; Caryophanales; Bacillaceae. The record is from RNAcentral.
AUGGCUCAGGAUGAACGCUGGCGGCGUGCCUAAUACAUGCAAGUCGAGCGAAUGGAUUGAGAGCUUGCUCUCAWGAAGUUAGCGGCGGACGGGUGAGUAACACGUGGGUAACCUGCCCAUAAGACUGGGAUAACUCCGGGAAACCGGGGCUAAUACCGGAUAAYAUUUUGAACUGCAUGGUUCGAAAUUGAAAGGCGGCUUCGGCUGUCACUUAUGGAUGGACCCGCGUCGCAUUAGCUAGUUGGUGAGGUAACGGCUCACCAAGGCAACGAUGCGUAGCCGACCUGAGAGGGUGAUCGGCCACACUGGGACUGAGACACGGCCCAGACUCCUACGGGAGGCAGCAGUAGGGAAUCUUCCGCAAUGGACGAAAGUCUGACGGAGCAACGCCGCGUGAGUGAUGAAGGCUUUCGGGUCGUAAAACUCUGUUGUUAGGGAAGAACAAGUGCUAGUUGAAUAAGCUGGCACCUGACGGUACCU